CGGCGAACGGGUGAGUAACGCGUAAGAAUUUGCCUUUUAGUGGGGAAUACCUUUGGGAAACUGGAGUUAAUACCGCAUAAGUCCUGUGGGAGAAAGACGGCCUCUUUGCUGUCGCUAAAAGAUAAGCUUGCGUACUAUUAGUUAGUUGGUGAGGUAAAGGCUCACCAAGACGAAGAUGGUUAGCCGGCCUGAGAGGGUGAACGGCCACAUUGGGACUGAGAUACGGCCCAGACUCC
Molecule: ribosomal RNA, 236 nt
Filed under: uncultured bacterium
Lineage: Bacteria
Description: partial 16S ribosomal RNA
Rfam family: Bacterial small subunit ribosomal RNA
Source: RNAcentral